Molecule: microRNA precursor, 96 nt
Organism: Nicotiana attenuata
Lineage: Eukaryota; Viridiplantae; Streptophyta; Magnoliopsida; Solanales; Solanaceae
Rfam family: MIR6152 microRNA precursor family
Source: Rfam
UGGACAGAUUAUUGUAUUCGACUGUAUUCACGGCGUGAAACAGGGGAUUACACUAUUUUUAAACGGAAAGUGAAUCAAUUAACAUAAUAAACUCCU